UCGGGAAUUUUGGGCAAUGGGCGAAAGCCUGAUCCAGCCAUGCCGCGUGUGUGAAGAAGGUCUUCGGAUUGUAAAGCACUUUAAGUUGGGAGGAAGGGCAGUUACCUAAUACGUGAUUGUUUUGACGUUACCGACAGAAUAAGCACCGGCUAACUCUGUGCCAGCAGCCGCGGUAAUACAGAGGGUGCAAGCGUUAAUCGGAAUUAUUGGGCGUAAAGGGUGCGUAGGUUGUUUGUUAAGUUGGAUGUGAAAUCCCCGGGCUCAACCUGGGAACUGCAUUCAAAACUGACAAGCUAGAGUAUGGUAGAGGGUGGUGGAAUUUCCUGUGUAGCGGUGAAAUGCGUAGAUAUAGGAAGGAACACCAGUGGCGAAGGCGACCACCUGGACUGAUACUGACACUGAGUGCGAAAGCGUGGGGAGCAAACAGGAUUAGAUACCCACGUAGUCCCUGAGCGGGCUGGCAAGGCGCAU
RNAcentral lists this ribosomal RNA (471 nucleotides) under uncultured bacterium. RNAcentral's name for it is "bacterial SSU rRNA". It matches the Rfam family "Bacterial small subunit ribosomal RNA", at positions 355 to 825 of the family's 1533-position model. The record is from RNAcentral.